UACAGAGGGUGCAAGCGUUGUUCGGAAUUAUUGGGCGUAAAGCGCGUGUAGGCGGCUUUGCAAGUCGGGUGUGAAAGCCCUCAGCUCAACUGAGGAAGUGCGCCCGAAACUGCAGAGCUUGGGUGCCGGAGAGGGUGGCGGAAUUCCCCAAGUAGAGGUGAAAUUCGUAGAUAUGGGGAGGAACACCGGUGGCGAAGGCGGCCGACCUGGACGGUAACCUGACGCUGAGACGCGAAAGCGUGGGGAGCAAACAGG
This 255-nucleotide ribosomal RNA is filed under the name uncultured bacterium. RNAcentral describes it as "partial 16S ribosomal RNA". It matches the Rfam family "Bacterial small subunit ribosomal RNA", at positions 524 to 776 of the family's 1533-position model. The record is from RNAcentral.